AGCUCAGUUGGUUUAGAGCAUCUGCUUACAAGCAGAGGGUCGGGGGUUUGAAUCCCUCA
This 59-nucleotide transfer RNA is filed under the name Crocinitomicaceae bacterium. RNAcentral describes it as "tRNA-OTHER". It matches the Rfam family "tRNA", at positions 9 to 63 of the family's 71-position model. Rfam says of the family: Transfer RNA (tRNA) molecules are approximately 80 nucleotides in length. Their secondary structure includes four short double-helical elements and three loops (D, anti-codon, and T loops). Further hydrogen bonds mediate the characteristic L-shaped molecular structure. tRNAs have two regions of fundamental functional importance: the anti-codon, which is responsible for specific mRNA codon recognition, and the 3' end, to which the tRNAs corresponding amino acid is attached (by aminoacyl-tRNA synthetases). tRNAs cope with the degeneracy of the genetic code in two manners: having more than one tRNA (with a specific anti-codon) for a particular amino acid; and 'wobble' base-pairing, i.e. permitting non-standard base-pairing at the 3rd anti-codon position. Lineage: Bacteria; Pseudomonadati; Bacteroidota; Flavobacteriia; Flavobacteriales; Crocinitomicaceae. The record is from RNAcentral.